GCGGAAGGAUCAUUACCGAGUGAGGGCCCUCUGGGUCCCACCUCCCCCCCCUGGUUAUUUUACCUUGUUGCUUCCGCGGGCCCGCCUUACCUGGCCGCCGGGGGGCUCAUCCCGCCGGGCCCCCGCCCGACGAACACACCCUCCAACUCUGUCUGAAGAUUGCUGACUGAUCGAAAAUAUAAAUUAUUUUUUACUUUCAACAACUGAUGUCUCGGGUCCCGAU
RNAcentral lists this unclassified non-coding RNA (223 nucleotides) under uncultured fungus. RNAcentral's name for it is "partial contains 18S rRNA, ITS1, 5.8S rRNA". The record is from RNAcentral. Lineage: Eukaryota; Fungi.